AGCUUUGAACAGUGGCAGUAUUGUAGCUAAUGAGGUUUAGCCAAGGCGCGAUUAUUGCUAAUUGAACACUUUUCUGAAACCCCACUGUGUGGACUUGCAAUGUAGUUGGCACUAGUGAUUUUUGACAGUUGCUAUGGAGA
Molecule: small nuclear RNA, 140 nt
Organism: Otolemur garnettii (small-eared galago)
Lineage: Eukaryota; Metazoa; Chordata; Mammalia; Primates; Galagidae
Gene: U4
Rfam family: U4 spliceosomal RNA
About the family: U4 small nuclear RNA (U4 snRNA) is a component of the major U2-dependent spliceosome. The structure of U4 snRNA from yeast and human has been reported.
Source: Ensembl